Long non-coding RNA from Gossypium arboreum, 522 nucleotides. RefSeq lists it as uncharacterized. The record is from RefSeq and is a predicted model, not a curated record. NCBI's taxonomy places the organism in Eukaryota, Viridiplantae, Streptophyta, Magnoliopsida, Malvales, Malvaceae. The transcript is spliced from 3 exons.
UUCUCACCCAAUUUCUAAGCAUUUUCUCUCAUUUUUUUUUUAUUUACAAAGUCCACAUAUCAAAUAUUAGAUCUCAUCUUUUAUUCUUUCAAAGUUCUCCAGAAAAUAUUUCUAAAGUUGGGAAAACAACUCAUUCGAGUUCUUCAAAGAUCUUGAUCCAAUCUUCAAUAUUGGUGAUUCUAGAUCGAUUGAAGAGAAGGUCACUUGGGGGCUAAAAUUUGUGUUUCGACUAGAUCGUGAGUUUUCGAUCCACAUCAAGGAGGGGCCACUGCUAAUCAGAAUUAAGGUUCAAAUAUAGCUACUUGAUACACUUUGGCUUGAGAAGCAAAAUGUGAAUGUGAGUGGUUUUUAAAGGCAUUUGCUAAACAUGCCUAUUUACAUUUUGAAUUGAGGUUUGAAUUGUGUUUCUAGUGAUUCAAUUGUAUCUCAAAUGGUUUAGAUUUCAAAAUUGAUUUUAAUUUUAUGGAAACAUAUUUGUAAAUGAUUUAUGGAAAAAGUGAAUAGAGUGUUUGAUAUGGUUGA